Long non-coding RNA from Sebastes umbrosus (honeycomb rockfish), 267 nucleotides. RefSeq lists it as uncharacterized. The record is from RefSeq and is a predicted model, not a curated record. The transcript is spliced from 3 exons. NCBI's taxonomy places the organism in Eukaryota, Metazoa, Chordata, Actinopteri, Perciformes, Sebastidae.
CAUACAGCCCAUGGGUGUAUUAGAAGAUAAUCAAAGUGAUGAAUUACAGCCAAUAAUAUCCAUUAUUACAGCCGCAUACAGCUAGCAGGAAGCUGUCAUAUGAGCGUGCAGGGCGCUGUGGUCCCGUGAGUCUGAUGACCGUUCAUUAUGGCGAGGUAAAUAACUCUGGAUUCAGCUGUUAGUUCAUUUUACUACUUUUAGGACAUCAUUAUUUAAAUGAGGGAUAUUUAAGAGUUCCUACUGGGAAGUUGAUUUACCUCAGAAUUA